AAAGUUUUCUGGUGGUAACCUCGAAACUUUAAGCGAUAAACCUGGUAAUCCGGUGCAGCAGGCGCUGAAAGAUUUCCACGAGAAGUACUAUUCCGCCAAUCUGAUGAAGGCGGUUAUUUACAGCAAUAAACCGCUGCCGGAGUUGGCAAAAAUGGCGGCGGACACCUUUGGUCGCGUGCCGAACAAAGAGAGCAAAAAACCGGAAAUCACCGUGCCGGUAGUCACCGACGCGCAAAAGGGCAUUAUCAUUCAUUACGUCCCUGCCCUUUGUACAACGUUUCCUGACAAAAAGUACGUCAUGUGACACACACCGGUGCCGGUGACGUUUUGCCGGAUAUCAGUUCUCCGCAGAUGCAUUCCGGCACUUUAUUAUCCGGUCGCUGACUGACGAUAUUCCGCCUGACGGAGAUGAAAAAGAGAUUGCCCGGUUCAUUCGCCGCCAGCAGUUUAUUUAUCCGGGUGUAAUCACACAGAAAUACGUCCCUGCCCUUUGUACAAUCCCG
RNAcentral lists this ribosomal RNA (503 nucleotides) under Entamoeba histolytica. RNAcentral describes it as "partial small subunit ribosomal RNA". The record is from RNAcentral. Lineage: Eukaryota; Evosea; Mastigamoebida; Endamoebidae.